GUUCUUAAUUAAGCAGAUUGAAAUGGAUUAAUGUAAGGGGCAUCAUAUACAUGAGAUUAUGAGAACUAUAUAUAGUGACAACAAUUAUUGCCAAUACAAGAAGACGACGAAGAGCAUUGAAGGAUAACGAUGAAGACAAUAUCGAUGGACAGAGAAAGAAGCCCAACCUGCAUAUUAAAUGCUACCAUUUGAGCUCCAUGCAUCCACCCAACAAAAGGAUCAUAAUUGGACGAGUC
This is a long non-coding RNA of Solanum dulcamara, 236 nucleotides long. RefSeq lists it as uncharacterized. Lineage: Eukaryota; Viridiplantae; Streptophyta; Magnoliopsida; Solanales; Solanaceae. The transcript has 3 exons. The record is from RefSeq and is a predicted model, not a curated record.